CAGUAGCCACGGUAAUACGAAGGGGGCUAGCGUUGCUCGGAAUUACUGGGCGUAAAGGGCGCGUAGGCGGACAGUUCAGUCGGGGGUGGAAGCCCGGGGCUCAACCUCGGAAUUGCCUUCGAUACUGGCUGUCUUGAGUAUGAGAGAGGUGCGUGGAACUCCGAGUGUAGAGGUGAAAUUCGUAGAUAUUCGGAAGAACACCAGCGGCGAAGGCGACACACUGGCUCAUUACUGCCGCUGAGGCGCGAAAGCGUGGGGAGCAAACAGGAUUAGAUACCCGCGUAGUCCCUGUCUCUUAUAC
This 301-nucleotide ribosomal RNA is filed under the name uncultured bacterium. RNAcentral's name for it is "partial 16S ribosomal RNA". It matches the Rfam family "Bacterial small subunit ribosomal RNA", at positions 509 to 807 of the family's 1533-position model. The record is from RNAcentral.